UACAGAGGUCCCAAGCGUUGUUCGGAUUCAUUGGGCGUAAAGGGUGCGUAGGUGGCGUCGUAAGUCAGGUGUGAAAUCUCGGAGCUUAACUCCGAAACUGCAUUUGAUACUGCGGUGCUUGAGGACUGGAGAGGAGACUGGAAUUUACGGUGUAGCAGUGAAAUGCGUAGAGAUCGUAAGGAAGACCAGUGGCGAAGGCGGGUCUCUGGACAGUUCCUGACACUGAGGCACGAAGGCCAGGGGAGCAAACAGG
Molecule: ribosomal RNA, 253 nt
Filed under: uncultured bacterium
Lineage: Bacteria
Description: partial 16S ribosomal RNA
Rfam family: Bacterial small subunit ribosomal RNA
Source: RNAcentral